GUGCUUGCUUUGGCAGCACAUAACACUAAAAUACAGAGAAGAUAUGCAUGCCCCCUCAACAAGGAUGACAAGCAAAUUCAUGAAGUGUUCCUUUUAUUU
This 99-nucleotide small nuclear RNA is filed under the name Catagonus wagneri (Chacoan peccary). Lineage: Eukaryota; Metazoa; Chordata; Mammalia; Artiodactyla; Tayassuidae. The record is from RNAcentral.